CCUGGCUCACGAUGAACGCUGGCGGCGCGCCUAACACAUGCAAGUCGAACGAGAGAUGAGGAGCUUGCUCUUCAAAUCGAGUGGCGAACGGGUGAGUAACGCGUGAGGAACCUGCCUCAAAGAGGGGGACAACAGUUGGAAACGACUGCUAAUACCGCAUAAGCCCACGGCUCGGCAUCGAGCAGAGGGAAAAGGAGCAAUCCGCUUUGAGAUGGCCUCGCGUCCGAUUAGCUAGUUGGUGAGGUAACGGCCCACCAAGGCGACGAUCGGUAGCCGGACUGAGAGGUUGAACGGCCACAUUGGGACUGAGACACGGCCCAGACUCCUACGGGAGGCAGCAGUGGGGAAUAUUGCACAAUGGGGGAAACCCUGAUGCAGCGACGCCGCGUGGAGGAAGAAGGUCUUCGGAUUGUAAACUCCUGUUGUUGAGGAAGAUAAUGACGGUACUCAACAAGGAAGUGACGGCUAACUACGUGCCAGCAGCCGCGGUAAAACGUAGGUCACAAGCGUUGUCCGGAAUUACUGGGUGUAAAGGGAGCGCAGGCGGGAGAACAAGUUGGAAGUGAAAUCCAUGGGCUCAACCCAUGAACUGCUUUCAAAACUGUUUUUCUUGAGUAGUGCAGAGGUAGGCGGAAUUCCCGGUGUAGCGGUGGAAUGCGUAGAUAUCGGGAGGAACACCAGUGGCGAAGGCGGCCUACUGGGCACCAACUGACGCUGAGGCUCGAAAGUGUGGGUAGCAAACAGGAUUAGAUACCCUGGUAGUCCACACCGUAAACGAUGAUUACUAGGUGUUGGAGGAUUGACCCCUUCAGUGCCGCAGUUAACACAAUAAGUAAUCCACCUGGGGAGUACGACCGCAAGGUUGAAACUCAAAGGAAUUGACGGGGGCCCGCACAAGCAGUGGAGUAUGUGGUUUAAUUCGACGCAACGCGAAGAACCUUACCAAGUCUUGACAUCCCUUGACGAUGCUGGAAACAGUAUUUCUCUUCGGAGCAAGGAGACAGGUGGUGCAUGGUUGUCGUCAGCUCGUGUCGUGAGAUGUUGGGUUAAGUCCCGCAACGAGCGCAACCCUUAUGGUCAGUUACUACGCAAGAGGACUCUGGCCAGACUGCCGUUGACAAAACGGAGGAAGGUGGGGAUGACGUCAAAUCAUCAUGCCCUUUAUGACUUGGGCUACACACGUACUACAAUGGCGUUAAACAAAGAGAAGCAAGACCGCGAGGUGGAGCAAAACUCAGAAACAACGUCCCAGUUCGGACUGCAGGCUGCAACUCGCCUGCACGAAGUCGGAAUUGCUAGUAAUCGUGGAUCAGCAUGCCACGGUGAAUACGUUCCCGGGCCUUGUACACACCGCCC
Molecule: ribosomal RNA, 1356 nt
Filed under: uncultured bacterium
Lineage: Bacteria
Description: bacterial SSU rRNA
Rfam family: Bacterial small subunit ribosomal RNA
Source: RNAcentral